UAAGACGAACCGUGCGAACGUUGUUCGGAUUCACUGGGCUUAAAGGGCGCGUAGGCGGUCCGCCAAGUCCGGGGUGAAAUCUUUCGGCUUAACCGGAAAAUUGCCUCGGAUACUGGCGGUCUAGAAGAGGGUAGGGGCCGCGGGAACUUCCAGUGGAGCGGUGAAAUGCGUUGAUAUUGGAAGGAACGCCGGUGGCGAAAGCGCGCGGCUGGACCCUCCUUGACGCUGAGGCGCGAAAGCUAGGGUAGCGAACGGGAUUAGAUACCCCGGUAGUCCUAGCCCUAAACGAUGGGUACUAGGCUGUGGAUGUGACAUGCGUUCACAGCCGAAGCAAAAGUGUUAAGUACCCCGCCUGGGGAGUAUGGUCGCAAGGCUG
Molecule: ribosomal RNA, 376 nt
Filed under: uncultured bacterium
Lineage: Bacteria
Description: bacterial SSU rRNA
Rfam family: Bacterial small subunit ribosomal RNA
Source: RNAcentral